UGGGGAAUAUUGGACAAUGGGGGCAACCCUGAUCCAGCAAUGCCGCGUGUGUGAAGAAGGUCUUCGGAUUGUAAAGCACUUUCGACGGGGACGAUGAUGACGGUACCCGUAGAAGAAGCCCCGGCUAACUUCGUGCCAGCAGCCGCGGUAAUACGAAGGGGGCUAGCGUUGCUCGGAAUGACUGGGCGUAAAGGGCGUGUAGGCGGUUUACACAGUCAGAUGUGAAAUCCCCGGGCUUAACCUGGGAGCUGCAUUUGAUACGUGUAGACUAGAGUGUGAGAGAGGGUUGUGGAAUUCCCAGUGUAGAGGUGAAAUUCGUAGAUAUUGGGAAGAACACCGGUGGCGAAGGCGGCAACCUGGCUCAUGACUGACGCUGAGGCGCGAAAGCGUGGGGAGCAAACAGGAUUAGAUACCCUGGUAGUCCACGCUGUAAACGAUGUGUGCUAGAUGUUGGGUAACUUUGUUAUUCAGUGUCGCAGUUAACGCGUUAAA
This 492-nucleotide ribosomal RNA is filed under the name uncultured bacterium. RNAcentral's name for it is "partial 16S ribosomal RNA". It matches the Rfam family "Bacterial small subunit ribosomal RNA", at positions 355 to 864 of the family's 1533-position model. The record is from RNAcentral.